UUAAGAGUUUGAUCCUGGCUCAGAUUGAACGCUGGCGGCAGGCCUAACACAUGCAAGUCGAGCGGAUGAGUGGAGCUUGCUCCAUGAUUCAGCGGCGGACGGGUGAGUAAUGCCUAGGAAUCUGCCUGGUAGUGGGGGACAACGUUUCGAAAGGAACGCUAAUACCGCAUACGUCCUACGGGAGAAAGUGGGGGAUCUUCGGACCUCACGCUAUCAGAUGAGCCUAGGUCGGAUUAGCUAGUUGGUGAGGUAAAGGCUCACCAAGGCGACGAUCCGUAACUGGUCUGAGAGGAUGAUCAGUCACACUGAACUAGAACCCUGAACG
Molecule: ribosomal RNA, 325 nt
Filed under: Stutzerimonas stutzeri
Lineage: Bacteria; Pseudomonadati; Pseudomonadota; Gammaproteobacteria; Pseudomonadales; Pseudomonadaceae
Description: bacterial SSU rRNA
Rfam family: Bacterial small subunit ribosomal RNA
Source: RNAcentral